AGGACUUGUCAUAAUAUGUCAUAGAUAUACCUAUUAUAAACAUUGGAGUAUUUUAUUACAAACAGGUCCUGCGAGUAUUAUAUCAUAAUAAAAGACAAAAUAUACCUAUACAUAAAUUUGGAGGUAAAAGUGCGUGUAAGUAUAGAUUAGGUAUCGACGACGACUUUUGAAAUGAUAAUCGAUUUCUUUAUAAAUCAUAUUAUUUACCAAUCUUGUCAUUAAAAAGUCAUCAGGCCAAAACGUGUGGUAUCCGUCACUGAAGUGUGCAACAUAGAGGUAAUUUAUAUUCAGAAGUUAUCGUUCAACUAAAUUCGUUCUGAUAUUUGAGUGAUAUUAUCUAUUAAAUAAAACUCAAAGGUUUCAUUUUGAAGCAAGUUAUUAGUGUGUAAAAUAUUACAAUUUAAAAAUUCUCAUACCGGCCUAUUUAUUACUACAAAAUUAAAAAAUUCGAUAAAAACACAUCCAAAAAAUAUUGUUACCUUCAGAUUAAAUAACAGGUAAAUUCACUCUUAUAUCUAAGCUAACAUUUAGCUGAACAAGAACUGCUGGAUGGUAAUUUACUAUAAUAUGUCACAAACUUAUAAAAUGGAAACAAUAAUAUUAUGAUAAUGUUUAUAAUACCUCCUCUUAAUUCAAAGCUAUUUAAUUGAACUUAAAUAUAUCUCAUAUUAUAGUUCUUUAUUAUUCACUAUGGAUUUAUGCAUCAAGGUUACACCUUACAUUUACUGUAUUAAACCUAUUGUAUAUAGGUAUAUCACAUUUUUAUUUUUUCAUACGAUUUGACGUGUAGAAAUUUUAUUGAGAUACCUUAUGUAAAAAUGUAUGUUCCAAAGAUAAAAUACAGUGAAACUUCUCCUAAUGGACACCUUUAAGAAGUAGAAACCUCCAAAUAGUGGACAUUUUCUUGUGAACUAACGAAACAUUUUCUACAAAAUGAACCCUCUGAAAUUUGAAUAGUGAACACCUUCGAAUAGAGGAUACAAUUUUAGCGACUGAGAUUGUCCGGUAUUUAGAGGUUUCGGUGUAACUUAUUUUAUUGUUUUAUUUCAAAUGUCCACGGUUUUAUAGUUACAUAUGGUACUUUUUGUAUAAAUAUUAUGCAGUUACGAUUUGUAGCUAUAAUUGAAACUUUUACUUUUCAAGGAUAUUUCGUAUGCUCAAAAUAAAAUACCCUUGAAAAUUCACUGAUUCCUAAAAUUUUUCACCGUGGCCUUAGCUCUGCAUGUAUACUGCAUGCAUCAGAAACAUUGAGUUUUGAACUUUUACAUUUUUUGGCUGAAAAGCACAGUACAAUAAUUAUAUGCGUGUACAACGUAUUAUAUGCUUAAUAAUAUUUACAUUCACGGUUCCCUGCAGUGAUUAACUCGUUUGAUAACUUUUAUCUAGUUAAUAUUUUUGUUAUAUUAGUGAUAACAUUGUUCUCCUUUGGUAUUAUCUACUAUACUUGUGUAUGUAGAAUCGACUUUAAUACAACAUUAAUACCACCCACGGUGCAGUUUCGAGAACAUCGGUAUUGUUUUCGGCCAUUACAGUUCGGGUUAAACUUGAUGGCGAUGGUAUAUAAGAAGAACACAAAAUCAGAUCGAUAGGUGUAAAACGAAUUAUGAGAUUCUGCUAAUAACUACUACUACGAUACCAAUAAAACAUUUUUAUAAGAUUUUAGAGUUGUUUUUCACAAACUACACCAAUUCACGACGAAAGCGAACUAUAAUUAGAUGUACAUUUUAAAAUACGAAGGACGUAAAUAUUCGAGAAGGAUAAUUUUUUUUUUAAUUUCAUCAAGCCGUUAAUGACAUAAUGUACUUAAAUCGGAUUCAUUAAAUAUCCUACGCAAUAAUUCCUAUAUAUAUGUUCGAAUUGUUCCUACAUCGUCAAUAAUUGCUUUCAACGGUUAAAAUUUGUUUAAUAAUGUAAAAUAGUAUCUCCGUAAAUCAAAUAAUUCUGUAGCGGAAAAUUGUAUUUUUAUUUUUGUUCGCAGCAUGUCUUGAAUUAAAUCAUGUUCGGUUGAUUACAUUCUUUUAUUCAAUUAUAUUGAACGAAUUAAAUAACGUAAUUUAUACUCGUAGCUUACGCCGCAUAAAUGUUUAUAAGCAAGUUUCGUAUAGUAUAAUAAGACCUGUAAAAACGGUGAGGUAGAAUUAUUCUGUGGUUUUUUGUUGUAUAUAGCCAUAUAGGUAGGUACAUAUAAUAUACGGACUAGGAUUAUAGUUAUUUGCAUCUGUAUAUCCGACCAUAAGACUUGGGGUUUCUGGGUCUCUGAGUUUUGUUAUCGUUCAACCAUGUGAUUACUGUUCAGUUUCGUGUCAUGGGUGGUUAUAUAUAUAUAUUAUACACGAGUAUAUAAUGUAUAUAUAUACGGAUUUCCUACAUGCACAAUUGUAUCGUUCCUAGGUAGGUACCUCAAUAAUUCUGGCUGUCUGAUCUAAAUUUAUUACUAUUUGGACAUCCACACUGUCUCCUAAAAAAUCCCUGAAAUUACCUCUAUUUUAUCGUAGUAUACCUAUAAAAGCUAAUAAUACAUGUAUUUGUCUAUAUACUCACAUCAGCAGUGACGGGUCGACGACUGGACGAAUUACCUACAAACGGACCCAUCCAAAUCUCAUUGAAAAUAAAAACGUCAAUAUAAUAAAAUACUGACUAUAUUAUUGUAUAUAUAUUAUUUCUUGUUAUAAAUUUCCCUGGCAGAAUUGAUAAAUCAAGACAAGCAAAUUCAGACACUUAGGUACAAAUGGACAAAAUAUACACUACAGUAAUAAUGCACACGUUUUGGAUGCGUUAAUUUAAUGAAUUCAACAGAAGAAAACCAUUUAUUGAAUGUUAUGCAUUAUCUAAAAGAUGUAAAAAAGAAUAUUGAACAUUUUAAAUGUCUAUAAAUAUCAAAAAAGGGCCAACAUAUUUAGUAAAAACUAUAUUUAUUGAUAUUUAAUUAAAAGAAAAUCAAUUAUGUUGAAAAUUCCCGUUAGUCAAAAUUUUUUUUUUGUUUUAAUGAUAAUUUUGAAAAGUAUUGGAAAUUUGAAGAUUGAAGUACUUUCACUAUUUUAAAAGGUGAUACCAAACAUACAUAUCAUAUUAAAACAAACCACUCCGCUCAGAAUCUAAAAUUAUAUAUGUAGUAAGUAGGUACUUAAAUUAUAUUGUUUUUAAUAAUAUUUGUUAUAGCAGCUACGAUCUGCGUGUUAGUGUGCGUAUUUAUGAUUUUAAAUCACGGAUAUAAACCUGAAUACAUUUUUCUUCAAACGAGACUGAUUAAUAUCCAGUAAUAACCAAUACAACGAGUUAAAGAUAGUCUUAUUUCUUGAUUAUUCUUAGUAGUUAUAUUGUUAUUUUAUCAUCUAAAGCAAAAUUAAUAUAAAAUUAUUAAGAUAUAGUAAGGCACAAUAAUAUAAUAUACUAAUGUGUGAUAACAACCGAAUACGCAUGGGAAAUAAAAUACAAUAUUAUUGCACCUGUCUUCAUAAACUAUUGUUCGGCCCUUAAAUUGCCUUAGAAUAAAUCCACGUUCACAGUGCACCUGCAAGGCGAUGUUAAAUAAGUGUUCAUAUUACUCUCUGUUUUCAGUAACGCAGUAAUUUAGUGAGAGUGUUGAAAACUAUUCUUGUUCUCGGCCAAAGUAAAACAAAGCGUCGCAAAGUUUGUGUGAACUUUAGUACUUUUAUCUUAUUUUUUCUUUGUACCUAUAGGUACUCUAGGCACAAUGACGAGUGAGAAAAUUAUGAAAUACGCACAGAAACGUGUAUACGAAUGCAUAAAAUAUAAUAAAUUAUAUUGUACUAGAGCAUGUACCUAAUGUAAUAAAUUAUUUUAUAUUAUAUUUUAGCGGUGGGUAAUAUAAUAAUAAUUGAUGUUACACGAUCGACCCAAAAAAUAUUAUCGUGCAUAUUUUUUAUUGUACUCGUUUUUUUAUAACGUUCCGCAGAACAAUUAACGUAGAUAAUCUCGAGUAAUAUUGAUGUCGUGCUUACAACAAAACGCAUUAAUUAGUCGUUGCCAGACCGAAACAGCUCCGGUACGGUUUUCAAACGUAUUCAAACGGAAUAUAUUAAUAAAAUAUUAUUUAUAUAUCAUUUCAUAUGACUGUAUAAUUUUGAUAUUUUGUGUCUUUUGAAACGAAUUAUGAGUCUAAAAAAUGUGUACGUUAUUAUACAGCUAGGUACUAGGUGAAACAGGUAGUUAAACAAGGUACUUCAUAGUCAGAAAUCUCGUGUAUUAUAAUGUAUUAUAGAAUAAUAUCAUAUAAUAUUAUACAUUUGUAUAAAAAAAAUAAUAAGCAACUGUAUUCCGGUGGGUUUCACAAAACUUUGUUGCAGUUCUGAGGUUUAAAAUAAAAUCAUCUAAACUUCUUCGUCUUGAAUGCUGCAAUGCGUGCGUUACGAACACGCAACCCUCCGACAAAAACAUUAAUGCUAAUUAGCUUUAUACAAUAUUAUCCUAAUAUAUAUGUAGCAUUUUCAAUGUUCGCUUGUUACUUGUCCUUUUGUACGAUUUGAUAGGUAAUCGAAUCGAAACAAGACAAUAAGACCAGCACACAGUAUGAAUCAAUCGCCAUAGCGAAUUUGUUUAUUUCACAUACUUAUUUAUAUGAUGUAAUAUAUAUAUUAUAUAUAUAUUAUUAUGAUGAUUUAUAUUAAUACAUGAUACCGAAAAUGUAAAAUAUAGUAUGGAUAUAACGGCUCGUAGUAAACUUAAACAUUUGUCACUAUAAUAUGACCUGCCAUAAAAGCCAAAUUGAGUUUUCAAUUUUUGGUGGGAUUGAAUUUUUACAAUGACUAUAUUUUUCAACAAAUAACUAAUAUUAUCUAUUUUUUUCCAAACACUACGAUCAUAAACGAUGUCAUUUUUAUGAAACAGUUUUAUUGCCGUAUAAUAUUUUAAACCAUUCAAUUUAUAAGCGUCCGUGAAACUUUAAUGGGUCAGCUGUCUAUGCUAGGCCAUAUUAAAGUCAUAUAAUUGUAUUUUGAACAUAAUAUAUAUUUAUAUAUUGUACGCACAUUAAAGAGAAAAACGAAUAGAAAAUACAUAUUAUUAAAUCUGGAUUGAUGAGAAAUAACUUACUUAUUAUACAGCGAGACGGGUAGAGAAUUUCAUUUAACAUUGAUUCAACAGUUGUAAAUGUAAAAAAAAAAACAAAAAACAAAAUAUAAGGAAUUUGUUUUUAUUUGAAAUAAUAUUUGUAGUGUGUUUUUGAGUCCAUAUUAUUAUAAAAGUUAUGUAAAGUUAAAAACAUGAAAAUAUCAAAGUUGUAAUAAUAUUGAGUUAACAAUUGGAUUGUUCCUAAUCAAAUCUGAUCUCUACCUAAUUAUGCAAUAUAUCACAUAUUCACACCUCACUCUAGUAUAAAAAAACUAACCUAUGCCUACCUAUAAAAAAAAUCUGUGACCAUAAACAAUUAAUACAUUAAGACAAAUUAGGUCAUCCACCUUAGAAACACGAUUGUUCUCUUCCUAGGUAUACCAAAAUAACUAGAUAGACUCCGAAUCAGCCAUUCUUACUUAAGCACCUCGAGACUAUACAAGCACUACCAUUAUGCGUAACCUUGUGCUCUUCUUGUUUCAGAUAAAUACUAUUAUUCACGGAAGCUACAAGAUUCAACGAUCAAAGACGAGCUCAAUCUUCAUCAUAAUCUAUGUGAACUAAAGCAUCAGAUUCGGAAACCACCACUCAACUCACAAGAUUCAAAAAUUUAUUGGAAUUAUAUAAUAAUAUUUAAAUGUACUAACCUGAACCAAUAUUAUUAUCUUCUUUAAUAAUUUGUAUCUUAUUUAAAUGAUGUAAUUUUAUUUUAUGUUGAUCGUAAGUACCUAAUGCUAUUAUCUUGCUGCGUAUAUUAAAAAAAAAAUUACCCUACCCACCACCCAUUAGAAUUGUUUCGUAUGACGUUUUGGAAUGGCAUUUGUUACUUAAGCGGCCGACGCGCGACCUGUUUUUUGCUCAAAGACAUGCCUUACAGGAAAAACUCUCACUCCUCGUAGAUUGGUCCGAUUUCCGUAAUUUUUUUUUGAUGUGAAACAUCUUAUGGCGCGGUACAGUAGUGAGACCGACUGUGGCGUGGCGACGCCCCACUCAUAGAUUUCAAAUCGAAAUUUUUGUUUAUAAAUGGUUGCCACGAGUGACGUCGUAUAAUAUGAUUCGUUCUAUAAAUUUUUUGUUUAUAAAUGGUUGCCAUGAGUGACGUCGUAUUGUUUAUAAAUGGUUGCCAUGAGUGACGUCGUAUAAUAUAAUUCGUUCUAUAAAUUUCAAUACAGAAUUAUAGUGAAUCGUUUUAAGUCGUUGCCACGGACACAAACAAACCAUUUAUCUUGUAAAUCUUGUAAUAACGAUAUAUAUUUUCUAAUGAAAUAUGAGUGACAGUGACAGUGAAAAUAUUACAAAUACAAUGGAACGAGACAGUGCACCGCCGCCAGAAAAAAGAAUUAAAUUUCAAGUUAACCAAAAUGCAGGUCGGAGUGAAAUGUCUCCGUCAUGUGCUUUUGCUGUUUAUCCCGAUUCACAAUUUACUGAUUCGAGCCAAAGGUUAGUUUGUUUAUUUUAAUAAUAAUGAUCUCUGUAUAACUUCGUAUUUAUAUUACAAGAUAGUGAAGAAGUAAAAUAUUAAUUAGAUUAAUAGAUAUUAGAUAUAAAUUAUAUUUAUGACUUAAUAUGGUUAGUCAACGAAAUGUGAUAAGUGGUAUUCGACAGGUGCUUAUCGUGGUGCUAUAGAUAAAAUGUUUGAUGUUUCACAUCUGCCAGGCGUCCCGCGACGGCUCACUUUUUAUUAGAUAUAGGAAGACGCAUUGCAAGGCGCGCAUUGGACUUGAAUAUUCAAAACUAUUUUUCUAAAUCUUAUAUUACAAGUUUGAAUUUAACCCAUUUUUACAACUUUUUAGUUUUUGUAUUAUUUUUUGUUUAUAGCAACGUAAUCAAAAAUCGAAGUCCAAUGCGCACUGCAAAAAUAUUCCUCUAUCUAACAAAAAAAAAAUUACGGAAAUCAGACCAAUCUACGAGGUGUGAAAGUUUUUCCUUUAAAGUGUGUUCUGAUCGAUAUAAUACACCCUAUCAACCUCCCCCCUAAAUAGGUAUCGGGUAGUAUUAUAAGUAUUAUAAUUAAGGUGGCAACUAAAGUAUAAAAUUUUAUUUUCGAAUUUUAUAGAAUUGCGGAAAAUUUGAAAAAUUGCAAUCAGGAUCCUUAAACAAUAUGUGAUCUUACGGGUAAACUAUCCUCUAUUCCAAAUAAGUCUGGAAAAACUGCACAGCCUCUGAACGGUAGAACCGCUGUGAUUGGCCGCAGUAGUCAGCUGCGCCGACUGCAGCCAAUGAGACUGCACAUGCGCAAACCGUGACGCGUUUCCGUCGGGAUUUUUCCAGACUGAUUUGGAAUAGAAUGUACAAUAUGAUAUGAAAAAUAUUUAUAGAUAUUAUCAAUAUAAUAUUAUAUGUCUAAAUAAAAAAGUAUUAACUGUAGUUAAAAUAAUAUUAUGUCAUUUUUCAUUAGCGAGAAAUCACUAGGCCGGGAUAUUGUUUUACACUCGAGAUGUUUUAACGUGUGCUAUUCGGUGUAACUUAACCUAUAGCACCGCCGCCACUAGUUAAACACUAUUAAUUUAAUUUUAAACAAACAUUAAUUAUACAUACUACAUAAUAUUAUACAAUAUGUAUUAUGUAUGUUAUACGAUCCUACUACCGCGCUGUCGUUGUCACCGCCAAUUAAACUCACCGCGGUGGCGUUUUCUUGGUAAGUAUAUAAUAAUAUAUCUACAAAGUACGCUUCGUGUACUUUGUAUAAUAACUAUCACGAACACAAUUUUCGAGAGUUUUGGAAAAAAACCAACAGACAGACAUUCUAACCCCAUGCUAUAAUUAAUAUCCCAGUUUUCAGCUAACCGACAUAAUUAUGGCACACGCUUGAGAUCGGUCUGAAAAGUAAAAUUUGAGAAUAUCGCGCCAUUUUAUUUUAACAAUAUUAUUAUAAUAACCGUGUAUGUAAUUAUAUAUAUGUCUGUUGUCUAUGUCUUAACUUAAAACACGGAACUGCGAUUUCGUUUUUCAUUUCACUUUUGUAUAAUUAUAAUAUAUCAUCAUCAAUCAUCAUCAUCAUCACUGAUGUUUAUAACUCUAUUUGAGUUUUUGCCGCCAACACUAUGUCCCUCCAUUUCUCUAAGUUAAUAUAUAUAUAGAACUUUAUAUACUAUAAAUUGGUCUAAUUUUUGAGAUGAUAUUCUUAAAACAAUAAUGAGAAAUCAAUUAAUUUUCAAAUUCAAACUAAGAACAAUUGAAGAGAAACAAGAUCUCAUCAUAAAAAUGCUGGAAGAUCAAGCAAACAAUCAAAUUUUUUCGAAUGAAAAUAAUUCACUUAUUGAUUACAACCCUAUGGCAGAUUUGUACCCCAUAGAAAGUCUUGAUGAUCUCAAUAAAAUAGAAGAGCAAAUUAUAUUGGACAGCGAAUAUCGCAGAAAAAUUGUUCAUGAUCUAUCCAACAGUAUUGGUGGGAAAAAUGUAAAUUCUCCAGUAAAGAAAAUUAUGGGUCAACUUUUUGAUGAUAGAUUAUUGGCCCAAUUUUCCUUUGCAGGAAGAAAAUUAACAUCUAAAAAUCAUUUCAGUCGUUGGGCUUUUAUAAAAUAAUUGAUGAAGCCACCAAAAAAAUGGCAAAAUUCAAAGGUGUUGUAAAGCAAGAAGAGAUUGACGAUUGUAUAAAAUAUAUGCUUAUUCAAGCACCAUUUCGCUUAAAACGAAAAAAAGAACAGGAAAAUUCAGCAUUAUUAAAAUAAAAUAAACAAAUGUAGGUAUUAUACUUUAUAUCUUUAAUAAAGCAUGUUUUCUAUUGUUAAAAUGUGUAUGUAUUUUAUUAAAAAAAAUAUAGGUAUUAUAAAAUAUAAGUAAAAUCACAGAUUUAAACUAAUAUUGAAUUCAACCUAAAAAUGCAAUGUUGUUUAUAACUUGAUAAUAUAAUGUUGAAUUCAACAUUCAAAUGCAAUAUUUCUUAAAACAUUUUGGUGUAAUGUUGGAUUUAACAUGUAUGUUAUCAUGUUGAAUAAAGCAUAGGGAUGCGAUGUGUCUGAUAACAUUGUGGUGUAAUGUUGAAUUAAACCUUGCAGUACAAUGUGAUAUCAAGUCUUAAAAAUUGGUUCAAAUGAUGUUUAGUAUAAGGUUUAUAAAUGUUUAUUAAAAUACAAUUUAAUGAGUAUUAAAUGGUUAGUUCAAUGUUUAAAGUUGUUUUUUUUUAGUUUUAAUUAAUGUUCUAUUUAAG
Long non-coding RNA from Acyrthosiphon pisum (pea aphid), 9220 nucleotides. RefSeq lists it as uncharacterized. The record is from RefSeq and is a predicted model, not a curated record. The transcript is spliced from 3 exons. Lineage: Eukaryota; Metazoa; Arthropoda; Insecta; Hemiptera; Aphididae.